AUUUUUUUUUUGUAUAUUACAAACAGCUCCCUGACGAAGAACCCUCUAGAACCAUGGCGAUUCGAUCUUGCUCCGGUGUCUUUGAAGCUCCAAUAGCUACUGCAACACAUGUAUUCUAGUGAACCUAUGUCCAACGUAGAGGGAGUUACAAGGUAAACGAGAUUGAUUGAUUUUCACUUGAGCGUCAAAAACUCUUAUUGGCGCCAUGAAUUCAGCUCAAUGAGGACUUCUUCUGCUCUAAACCACUAACAUCGACAAUCUAGUAUUGAGAAUGAGCUUCAAGGAGCUAAUACCACUGCCAAAAGGUCCAGAUCUAGAAGGUACAUCCUCUUCUUUAGUGUUUCUUGCUUCUGCUUUCCUUCACAUUAGGUUCUUACUUGAUGAUGCUGUCUAAUUUGCCCUUAUAUGUGGAUAUUUCCUUGUGCUUGAUGUUUGUUUUGACAUUUCUUUAUUAUGAGAUUUGGUGUAUUACAUUUUUCCAGCUGAAUGAUUUUCCUUGCAUUUGCUAGAAUCUCCUAAUAUGAAUUAAAUUAAAUCCUAUUUGUACUUGCAAAACUGAUAUAAAGUUAGUGAAAUAAUCUGUCAAUUAAUUUCCUUCUCUGAAUGUGUGCAUCACCACAAUGUUAUUUUCCAUUAUGCAAUUGAGUCUUUUAAAAUGCAAUGCAAUGGUCCAGGUCACCUCCUAUAUACCGUCAAGUAUUUUCUUUAAGAGUAAGGGAGUUUGUUUUCAUGAUCACUGGUAGUCUGUUAUGGUUUAUACCGUAUUCCAUUAUUCUAUUCCCAUCCUCAUAGCUACAACCUCAACUUUAAGCAUUGUUUCAACCACAAUUCUCCUUGUUUAAGCAAAUACAAAAUACCUCUCCUCAUUUCUAGUACAAAAUGCACUAGAACUAGGCCCAGAAUUUUCUUUGUUAGCUUCUUCAGAAUUACACUUGUAAAACCCCCAAUCUUGCAAGAUCCAUCUAAUUACUUGACAAGAAAUAAUCGGGUAUACUCCUUAAACCUCUUGACUAUCCAAGGCGAUUCAAUAGAAAUAUCUUGCAUUCAAGGAUAUCUACCCAUUGCCAUCAUAUGCAGAUUCCUCUGAAUUUUCAUAACCAUAACAUAUUUUGAUAUUUUGCUUCUAUUUUUUAUUCUAUGUCUCCUCUUCUGUGCUACCAGAAAUUAAAAGCUAAUACAACCUUAUAUAAAGGCUUCAAUUUUGUGACACAACCAAUAUCCACCACUUAAAAAUGGUAUCUUUAAUCUGCAAAAAUGGAUCAGUACUCCUACUGCUUCUGCAAAUAUGUUCCACAAAUAAUUAGCAUCAAAACAUGUAAUGAAUAAAUGUACAAAUAUUUCAUGUACAUUGUUGUUGUAGCAGCAACAAACAACUUUAUAUGUCACUUUGAUCUUGACAAACAUCCCACCAAUGGAAUUCUAUGCUUCCAAAGUUUCCAAAACAAAAAAGAGAUGUUGAAAGGAACUCCUUUCUCCCAAAUAUUCAACAUCAGCUCUCGAGGGUCAAUUUUUUGCCUAAUUACGUCCCUAACGCUUCCUACUGAGAACUUGCAUGUACUAUUAAGCAUCUACCAAGGUCUAUCCAAUUAUCUUUGUCAUGAAUUUCCCCAAUCUCCUGCUGAAUAUGAUUAUAAAUAUCCUCAUAAUAAUUCCAUCAUCAAAUUAGGAUUCUAUCCUUCAUUAGCCAUUAGCUGGCUCACAUCUUCAAAAUUCUUAUCACAAUUGUGAGUAACAGGAAGUUAAAAGUGAAGUCCCCCUAAUUGUGUCUAAUUAUCACUCUAGAUACUAGAGUGGACAGAACUAGAUUCCCACCAAAUCUCUUGAUCAAAGCAAUCUCUAGUCUGUAGCAUCAAUUUCCAUAUCUAUGAACUACCCCGCAGUCCAACCACCUGUGGCAUGGCUUCUUGUAAUAUUUAUUCCUUAUGAAAUUAUCCCACAAGGACUUUUUAGUCCUAAAAUUCUACUGCAGCUUUGAAAAUAAGGCUCUGGAAACAUCAAAUAGUGACUAAAUUCCAAUCCACCCUCAUUCUUAAGAAGACGUAUGUUUGACCAUGAUACCGGUGCUUGACCCUUCUUUCUUCUUUAAAAUUCCAUAGAAAUUUAGCAAAAAUUCUAUGUAUAUCAUCAAUUACACAUUUAGGAGGCAUGAUUGAAGAUAAUAAAUAAAUGGGGAUACUUUGUAAUACAUGAUUGAUCAAAACAGUUUUACCUCCAAAAGACAAUAAUUUACCUUUCCAUAUAUAAAGCUUAUUCAGUACCUUCUUCAAAAGUUUAACAAAUGUUGUUUUUUCUUCUUUACAUGACCAACAUGACACCCCAAAUACAUUAAUGGGAACUGCCUUUCUGGAAGUCUAUUAUAGUUUCUACCUCUUGGACAACAACAUUUGUAGCCUUAUUAAGCAUAACGAAAAAAUUCCUUUCUUUUUUAAUUUUCUAAUUGACUGCUUUUCGUAUUGGACCAACACCUCCAUAAUUAAUUCUAAAUAUUUCCUCUGUAUUCAUAAAAAAUAUGGCAUCAUUAGCAUAAGCUAAGUGAUUUAAAUUGUCACUCUAUUUGGGCAAUUCACAACUCUUAAAAUCUUUAUCAUUAAAAGCUGAUUAAGAGUUCUAGAUACAUAUAGAAGCACCUAAAAUAUCCUAUGCCAAACACUAAUCUUUCGACUAAGAAAGAGAUCAGAAGUGUACCUAUGAAACCAGUUGCUUACUUGCAUGGUGAGCCACGUAUAUUAUGGGAGGAAGAGAAAGUAGAACAGAUGAUUAUCAAUAAGGAUCUGAAAUAUGCAGUAAUAGGCAAGUUCUCCUACGAAUGGCCGAAAAUUCAAAAUCUUAGGAGAUUAAUACCAUAACAAUGUAAAUUAAAGGGAGAGGUCGAUAUUGGAUUACUUAGUAACAAACAUAUACUAAUAAGGGCAACAUUAUUGGAGGAUUGUGUACACUGGUUGUCUAAACCACAGUUCUAUGUCACGUAUAAUUAUUGGUCAUAUCCAAUAAGGACCCUCAAGUGGGAUUCUUUGUUUGAUUCGGAGGAGAAAAUGUCAAUUGCUAUAGUUUGGAUGUCAUUCCCAUCAUUGCCACCAAAUGUUUUUUGGUAAGGAAGCAGUCUUUUCAUUGGCAGCGACAGUAGGAAAAUCUCAACAGGUUGCUAUGGCUACUAAAAAUAAAACAAGAUUUAGUUGUGCGAGGGUCAAGAUGAAAAUUGAUCUUCUUGGUGAUUUUGCAAAAAGGAUUAACAUUAGAAUGUGAAAGAGGUUUGGAGAGAUUAAAGAGAAAUGGAUAACAAUCAAAUAUGACUACAUCCUAAAGUAUUGCAAGACUUGCAAGCUGCAAGGACAUAAUGAAAAAGAGUGUUUCAUCAUUCUCCCAAAAUUAUACCCAAAAGAAGAGGGUGAAGAGGAGAAAAUACCUAAUAAAGAAGAAGCGGGAGAAGAUAAAGGAAAAGUAAAGAUUGAUGAGGGCAAGAAAAAAGAGAAUGGUGAUAAAUGAAAGAGCACAGAAGAGGGAAAGAUGAAUUUAAAGAACAAAGAAGAAGAAGAAGUGGUUUUAAAAGGGGCAGGAAAUUCCACAAAGGCAGAUCAAAACAAAAGUGGCAUUCCAUAACACAUAACAUGAAGUAUGUCACAACAACAGAGGAUGAGCAGGAAGAGAAGAGGGCAGGAGAGGAGGAAAUAGAAAAAGAUAAUACAGAAGGAAUGAGGAAACUAGAUGAUGAUAGUCAUAUGGAAGAUACCGACUUUAUCACUCCAGGGAGUUCAAGAAGCAGAGAAAAACGAAAACGUGCAGAUGCACAUAGUGGAAUACGGGACAGUGAAAGGAGCAAAGACAGGUAUUUGAGGGGAAGAACUAUAAGAUGGAAAGUGAUAAA
Molecule: long non-coding RNA, 3862 nt
Organism: Capsicum annuum
Lineage: Eukaryota; Viridiplantae; Streptophyta; Magnoliopsida; Solanales; Solanaceae
Exons: 2
Source: RefSeq, a predicted model, not a curated record